This 467-nucleotide ribosomal RNA is filed under the name uncultured bacterium. Its description in RNAcentral is "partial 16S ribosomal RNA". It matches the Rfam family "Bacterial small subunit ribosomal RNA", at positions 29 to 507 of the family's 1533-position model. The record is from RNAcentral.
ACGAACGCUGGCGGCGUGCUUAACACAUGCAAGUCGAACGGAAAGGCCCUGCUUUUGUGGGGUGCUCGAGUGGCGAACGGGUGAGUAACACGUGAGUAACCUGCCCUUGACUUUGGGAUAACUUCAGGAAACUGGGGCUAAUACCGGAUAGGAGCUCCUGCUGCAUGGUGGGGGUUGGAAAGUUUCGGCGGUUGGGGAUGGACUCGCAGCUUAUCAGCUUGUUCGUGGGGUAGUGGCUUACCAAGGCUUUGACGGGUAGCCGGCCUGAGAGGGUGACCGGCCACAUUGGGACUGAGAUACGGCCCAGACUCCUACGGGAGGCAGCAGUGGGGAAUAUUGCACAAUGGGCGGAAGCCUGAUGCAGCAACGCCGCGUGCGGGAUGACGGCCUUCGGGUUGUAAACCGCUUUCGCCUGUGACGAAGCGUGAGUGACGGUAAUGGGUAAAGAAGCACCGGCUAACUACGUG